CACGUAGGGUGCAGGCGUUAAUCGGAAUUACUGGGCGUAAAGCGUGCGCAGGCGGUUUGCUAAGACAGGUGUGAAAUCCCCGGGCUUAACCUGGGAACUGCGCUUGUAACUGGCAAGCUAGAGUGUGGCAGAGGGGGGUGGAAUUCCACGUGUAGCAGUGAAAUGCGUAGAGAUGUGGAGGAACACCGAUGGCGAAGGCAGCCCCCUGGGCUAACACUGACGCUCAUGCACGAAAGCGUGGGGAGCAAACAGG
Molecule: ribosomal RNA, 253 nt
Filed under: uncultured bacterium
Lineage: Bacteria
Description: partial 16S ribosomal RNA
Rfam family: Bacterial small subunit ribosomal RNA
Source: RNAcentral